This 429-nucleotide ribosomal RNA is filed under the name bacterium. Its description in RNAcentral is "partial 16S ribosomal RNA". It matches the Rfam family "Bacterial small subunit ribosomal RNA", at positions 355 to 776 of the family's 1533-position model. The record is from RNAcentral.
UAGGGAAUCUUCCACAAUGGACGCAAGUCUGAUGGAGCAACGCCGCGUGAGUGAAGAAGGUUUUCGGAUCGUAAAGCUCUGUUGUUGGUGAAGAAGGAUAGAGGCAGUAACUGGUCUUUAUUUGACGGUAAUCAACCAGAAAGUCACGGCUAACUACGUGCCAGCAGCCGCGGUAAUACGUAGGUGGCAAGCGUUGUCCGGAUUUAUUUGGCGUAAAGCGAGCGCAGGCGGAAUGAUAAGUCUGAUGUGAAAGCCCACGGCUCAACCGUGGAACUGCAUCGGAAACUGUCAUUCUUGAGUGCAGAAGAGUAGAGUGGAAUUCCAUGUGUAGCGGUGGAAUGCGCAGAUAUAUGGAAGAACACCAGUGGCGAAGGCGGCUCUCUGGUCUGCAACUGACGCUGAGGCUCGAAAGCAUGGGUAGCGAACAGG